GAUGAACGCUGGCGGCGUGCCUAAUACAUGCAAGUCGAGCGAACAGACGAGGAGCUUGCUCCUCUGACGUUAGCGGCGGACGGGUGAGUAACACGUGGAUAACCGACCUAUAAGACUGGGAUAACUUCGGGAAACCGGAGCUAAUACCGGAUAAUAUAUUGAACCGCAUGGUUCAAUAGUGAAAGACGGUUUUGAUGUCACUUAUAGAUGGAUCCGCGCCGCAUUAGCUAGUUGGUAAGGUAACGGCUUACCAAGGCAACGAUGCGUAGCCGACCUGAGAGGGUGAUCGGCCACACUGGAACUGAGACACGGUCCAGACUCCUACGGGAGGCAGCAGUAGGGAAUCUUCCGCAAUGGGCGAAAGCCUGACGGAGCAACGCCGCGUGAGUGAUGAAGGUCUUCGGAUCGUAAAACUCUGUUAUUAGGGAAGAACAAAUGUGUAAGUAACUAUGCACGUCUUGACGGUACCUAAUCAGAAAGCCACGGCUAACUACGUG
Molecule: ribosomal RNA, 497 nt
Filed under: uncultured bacterium
Lineage: Bacteria
Description: partial 16S ribosomal RNA
Rfam family: Bacterial small subunit ribosomal RNA
Source: RNAcentral